This 1966-nucleotide long non-coding RNA is filed under the name Daucus carota (carrot). RNAcentral describes it as "long non-coding RNA (DCAR_LNC003931)". Lineage: Eukaryota; Viridiplantae; Streptophyta; Magnoliopsida; Apiales; Apiaceae. The record is from RNAcentral.
UAUGAAGCGGCAAUUCCCCGUGAUAAUUCUUUCAUUCAAGAAAGUUUAUCAUCUAAUCAUCGUAUAAGAUGAUCGGGGAAAUUUAGAUAAUAAAACUUUAAUGUCCGAAAAAAAACCCGUCUUCUUCCAAGCAUCCUGAAAAUAUAAACAAAGGAAAUAAGGAGAAUAUAAGGCCAUAUAUAACUGAUUACAUAUAUUAUUAAAAAAUAAAGGAUAAUAUGUCCAAUAAUUAAUAAUUAUUAACAUCAUGUGUAUAUCAUUCAAGUAGUGAAAAGGAAAUUAAAUAAAGUCUCAACCAAAGGUGGAUCUUUGGUGAGACACUAAUGAAUAAGAAAAUAUACUGAAGAUAUAACAUAACAAUUAUUAACAAGCCAACAAAGUAGCACAUAAUUGCAGCCGACAAAGUGGCACAUAAUUGCCUCUUACAGGCCAAAAAUACGCCAUCAAUCAUGGUCACCCAUAAAUGGUACAUAAUUAACCAUCAAUAAAGGCAUGGUUAACACACUAACCGAUUUAAAUGUGAAGCAAGACAUUUCAAAAAAUCCAAAUAAUUUCCAUUUAUACAAAAGAAUCAACUUGAAUGAGAUAAAAGAAAUUCUAAUUAAGGAAAUUAAAAAAUUUAUAUGAAGUGCUUAGAGUCUAAGAGCAUCUCCAACCAUACAAAACCCUUGGCUAAAAAAUGAGUUGGCAUUCCAAAAUUAAAAAAUAUAGCCAACGUCCUGAAAAAAUAGCACUCCAACCACACUAAUCUGUUGUCUAUAAUUUUAGCCAACCUCCUAUGGAUGGCUAUAUUUGUCGAACCUCUGCAGGUCUGUAAGAAAUCUGUAGGAAGAUUGCACAUCAUUUAUUAUUGUAUUAAACUGAUAUAUUCUAUUUUAACAAUCUAAAAUAUUAAUAACAUAUUAUUUUUAAAUUAUAGCCAACCAGUAUAACCAAUACCAUUGAAGCAAAAUGUGUUACAGGUGCAGCAAAUUUUACAUAACGUCUUACAGGUCCAAUUUAGCCAACGAUUAUAGCCAACACCGUUGGAGAUGCUCUAAGUAUAACAUCAAUCAAUAAAUUUAAUACAACAAUUAUUAAAAAGGUUAUUAUAAUGAUUACUAAAAAGGUUAAUAUCAAAAGUAAAAAAAUGAAAAAGAGUCAAUCACUGUUUAAGGAAAUAUUACAUGAUACAAUUACCCCAUAUAUCAAUCAUAAUAAUUAAAAUUAAAUGCAGAUAAUUAAAACUGAAAAUUAAAUACAAUUCUACAAAACUGAAAUCAUAAAUUAUAUCAAAAUUUUAGUCAACAAUAUUACAACCGCAAGCCACUACCGCGAACCACCGUUAGACCACCACCGUCUACCCGAUAUGUAAAAUCACGUAAAAACAACAUGUUAACACUAAAUCAAAAACCUAUAUUUGGUUGUGUCAAAAAAUUUUAUAUCUGAUCGUGGUUGCAUAGAAUUCAAUUUUACGCAAGCAAAUAUCAAAAUACAAAGGAUAUAUUUUAUGAAUAAUAAUAGUAAGAUUUGAUGCAUAUCUAUCUAAAUUAUCAAUAGAUCACGUAAAAUAAGUAUGAUUGUAAAUUAGAAAAAAGUACACCUUAAUUUUAUGGAGUAUAUUUACACAAAAUGAGUCGUUUUCAAAUAUGAUCAGUCCUUUAAAGAUGUCCUUGCAGAUGUCGGUGAGAAGCUCGAUAUCCGGAUAUUUGAUUCGGUUGAAAACACAAAUCAGUGAAGAAAACAUACUCUAAACAAUUAUAAAACAAACCGAAAUCAUGUAUACCUUGAGCAGUGAUGAGUCUGUAGGUAUGGCCCAGGAGAAGAGUGUUAGUUGGCCGCAGAAGCUUGAUACGUGUUAUACGAAGAGGCUCCCCGUGGUGGCAGCCGCCAUGAUGGUGGUCAUGGGGUUGGAGGGAGUUUGAGGGAAAAUGUUAGCCCAAAAUUCCAACACUUGCGGCCCAAAUUUUGUUUAGCAUAAAUCAAG